AUGUAUGCGAUGACAGGAGCAAGUAAAAAGUAGCACAUGCUAAGAGAGUUGAUUCCAUCGGCUGGAAGAAUCGACCAUCCCUCUACUUUUGAACCCUACUCCUUUAGCUCUGGCAAAAACCAGCGUUUCAUUCAACGUUAUUGAAUGAUUAAGUGGGCAGUUAUUUGUUGCCAACAAAGGUGGUACCGCGGAACCUCUUCCGUCCUUUUU
Molecule: non-coding RNA, 210 nt
Filed under: Bacillus sp. (in: firmicutes)
Lineage: Bacteria; Bacillati; Bacillota; Bacilli; Caryophanales; Bacillaceae
Description: Bacillus sp. T-box sequence
Rfam family: T-box leader
About the family: Uncharged tRNA acts as the effector for transcription antitermination of genes in the T-box leader family. T-boxes are found upstream of many aminoacyl-tRNA synthetase genes and some amino acid biosynthetic genes usually in Gram-positive bacteria. The anticodon of a specific tRNA base pairs to a specifier sequence within the T-box motif, and the NCCA acceptor tail of the tRNA base pairs to a conserved bulge in the T-box antiterminator hairpin.
Source: RNAcentral